This 389-nucleotide ribosomal RNA is filed under the name uncultured bacterium. RNAcentral describes it as "bacterial SSU rRNA". It matches the Rfam family "Bacterial small subunit ribosomal RNA", at positions 30 to 418 of the family's 1533-position model. The record is from RNAcentral.
AUUGAACGCUGGCGGCAUGCCUUACACAUGCAAGUCGAACGGCAGCACGGGAGCAAUCCUGGUGGCGAGUGGCGAACGGGUGAGUAAUAUAUCGGAACGUGCCCAGUCGUGGGGAUAACGUAGAGAAAUUUACGCUAAUACCGCAUACGAUCUAAGGAUGAAAGCGGGGGAUUCGCAAGAACCUCGCGCGAUUGGAGCGGCUGAUAUCAGAUUAGGUUGUUGGUGAGGUAAAGCUCACCAAGCCGACGAUCUGUAGCUGGUUUGAGAGAACGACCAGCCACACUGGGACUGAGACACGGCCCAGACUCCUACGGGAGGCCAGCAGUGGGGAAUUUUGGACAAUGGGCGCAAGCCUGAUCCAGCAAUGCCGCGUGCAGGAUGAAGGCCUU